GUAGGGAAUAUUGGGCAAUGGAUGCAAGUCUGACCCAGCCAUCCCGCGUGCCGGAAGAAGGCCCUCAGGGUUGUAAACGGCUUUUGACGGUGAAGAAUCGACAGGAUGCGUCCUGUUUUGACGGUAGCCGUUGAAUAAGCACCGGCUAACUCCGUGCCAGCAGCCGCGGUAAUACGGAGGGUGCGAGCGUUGUCCGGAUUUAUUGGGUUUAAAGGGUGCGUAGGCUGGAAGGUCAGUCAGCGGUGAAAAGCUGUCGCUUAACGAUAGUCUUGCCGCAGAUACUUCCUUUCUUGGAUGAGGAGGAGGCCACUGGAACGGAUGGUGUAGCGGUGAAAUGCAUAGAUAUCAUCCAGAACACCGAUUGCGAAGGCAGGUGGCUGUACCUUAAUCGACGCUGAUGCACGAAAGCAUGGGGAGCAAACAGGAUUAGAAACCCGUGUAGUCC
RNAcentral lists this ribosomal RNA (445 nucleotides) under uncultured bacterium. RNAcentral's name for it is "bacterial SSU rRNA". It matches the Rfam family "Bacterial small subunit ribosomal RNA", at positions 354 to 796 of the family's 1533-position model. The record is from RNAcentral.